Molecule: non-coding RNA, 2070 nt
Organism: Chiloscyllium plagiosum (whitespotted bambooshark)
Lineage: Eukaryota; Metazoa; Chordata; Chondrichthyes; Orectolobiformes; Hemiscylliidae
Source: RefSeq, a predicted model, not a curated record
GGUCGGUGUGGACUGGUUGGGCCGAAGGGCCUGUUUCCACACUGUAGGGCAUCUAGUGAUUUUCAUGUCUACGUCUUUCAAGCUCAGCUAGUGAAGUCGGGCGGACAAAUUCCUUUUAACGAGAAAGGAAAUCUUUGCACAGAAUUCCCUCACACAGGUGGUAAUGUCAAAGGGCCAGGAAUCCAGACACAGUGGCUACGAAACACUAAAGAGACAUCAGUUCAAGUCUCACCAUGGUAGCUAAAUUCAAGUCAUAAAAUCUGGAUUCAGUAACAGUGGUCAUGAAAUUACUAUUUAUUGUCAGAAAAUUUCACCUGACUCAUUAACUUUGAUCUGUCAUGGAAAUCUGCCAUCCUUACCCAGUCUUGCCGACAUGAGAUUAAUAUUUAAUUACUCUUGGAAAUGGUCUUUCAAGCCAUUCACUUUAAAGGUAAUCUGGGAUGGGCAACAAAUCUGCCCAGACCCCAUGAAAGAGAUUGAAGAAAAAAAGACCUCCCACAUUAAACCAUGUUGGAAUGAUGAUGUUACAAUGAGCUCUUAAGCCUUUAAUGGGUUAAAAGGCAGCACUGAUUGUGCCUGAUCUCCACUGCCUCCCCUCGUCUCAAGAUGCCUUUGGCAGCACUGUUGCCGUGGAAAUAAAACUUCCUGCCCGUAAUCCUCCAUUAUCCCUCCCCCCCCCAUCCACACUUUAUCCUCAUGUGACACAUAAUUACUUGCUAAAUUAGAACAGCUCUUUCCAGAGUCACAACUAGAGGUUAACAUGUUAGCCAGAUGCGAUCAUGCUGGAAUGACAGAACUUACAGGAGGUUGUCCUGUCUGAUUGCUGUGGUUUCUUUCUUACAAUGCUUAAAAAGAAUCACACAACUUUGUACACCCCAGUCCAACACCGGCAUCUCCAAAUCAUGCUUAAAAAGAAAGCAUUCUGAAUAGCUCCUCCCACCCUGACGAACAUCAAUGCAUCACUAGGGAUAUUCUAAUAAGCCUCCUCCUUCAAAAUAUAAAACCGGAUUCAAUCAAAAGAGUUAAAGCAAGUAUUUGAGAGUAGACCCUUAUCGUCAUCAUUAACCGACCCUGUUCAGCCACUGAUGGACCUGGUGGACAAAGUGGAGAAAGGAUAUCGGAUGGAAUGUCCAGAUAAGUGUCCCACCUCCGUGUACAACCUGAUGAAAUCCUGCUGGGAGUACGAUCCUGGCAAACGUCCCACCUUUAAAAAACUCAGGGACAAACUGGAAAAAGAAGGGAGGAAAUCCGAUUAUGUUUGAAGCAAGAACAACUCAUGGGCAGGUUUAACCACAGUCAGAGCAUCCUAUUGAGCCAACAUACUGGGAUGGAUCCUAUCCAGGAUUUUGAGUCUUACAGCAGCACAUGGUGAAGAAUGACAGAUUAUACAUAACAGGAGAAAAAAGAAAUCCCUUCAAUGUCAUGCUGUAUUCCUCUAUACACAAACUGAAGGUUCCCAUCUAUGUUUAAAUCAACCCCUUCAUCCUGUCAGUGCCUGUUUACCUUCUAACAGAGCUGACCUUAACAUGGUUGUGCUUGCUCACAUACGAGAUUAGAAAUUGCGGUUUUAUUUUGUUUUGGGGAAUCCACACAGAAUAUUAUACAAUCAGCAUCAAACUAACCUGACACUGUCAAUAUCAGACCGACCCAUCACAAUAAACAGGAAUAAGGACAUUUUUAUACAGACCUUGCCUUCAGAAGUUGAAAUUGAUACAGCACAGUGUCUGAUAAGGUAGAAUGUGCAUGGGCUUCAUAGCAAGCAGGAGUGAAUGGCCUUCUCUUAUAUUUCUCACAUUGUAACAAUGAUUGUCCUUCGAAAGUAUUUCAUUUGGCCAGAAAGUACUUUUGAACAAUCUGAGGUCCAGACAGCUGCUCUAUAAUGUAUAGUUGUUUCCUGAUUUGCUUUCAGUUUUUACUUAUGUUAAAGACUGUGCUCUGUGUGGUACCUGUUCAACAGUGGACAAUUUCAGAUCUCAACAGACACUUGCUGCAAAAGUCUCCAUUCAGUAUUUUGUUAAGUGUUGAUGUAAUUGAGAAUCUGUUGCAAUAAAUUAAAACCUUUUGCCUAAA